This is a long non-coding RNA of Herpailurus yagouaroundi (jaguarundi), 690 nucleotides long. RefSeq lists it as uncharacterized. The record is from RefSeq and is a predicted model, not a curated record. Lineage: Eukaryota; Metazoa; Chordata; Mammalia; Carnivora; Felidae. The transcript has 4 exons.
GUCUCUGUCCAUCCACACACAAGGACGUUGGCUCAAUAUGUAAUAACCAUGAGCCAGAGUUGGUUUUGGGGGGAAAGAAAUCAAAGGUGCUGGCAGAGCGAGCAGGCAUUUUCCUGAGGGUGAGGUGCACACAGGGACUUGGCCCACGUUCUUGCCCUGGGAGAAAUUGCUCCCAAGAGCUGAGGGAGUGGAAAGAGAAGGACUCCUUAGACCCGCGGCCUCAGUUAUCUUCAUCUGUGAAAUGUGAAUAAUGGCGACACCUACUGGAAAUACUGCUGUGAGGAGUUCUUGUAAGGGCAAAUGCCUGGAGUGUGUGCAGGCACUCGAUAGUCAUCAAAUCCAGCCCCUGGCAACAGUAGAAAACUGUGCUCCCACUCCAAUGACUUCUGCAGCUGCCAUUCUCCUGUUUCCUUUGCCUGGGAUGUCCUCUAGCCAGCCUCCUCUAUCUGGUGAACUCCCAGACCUUCUCCAAGACCCAGCUCCAAUGGCACCCCCUCUGAGAGGCCAGCCUGGAUCCUUCCAGGAACAUGGAAGUGCAGGAUGACACCAUGUGACGCUGUAUACUAAUAGAGAAUCAUAAAAUUGUCUGCCAGCCUAACAGCCACGCUGUGGAAUCGGGCAGCCUCGCAUGUACAUCCCGGUCCCACCACUUACUGCCUAGGUGACCUUGAACAAGUUACUUCAUCACUC